Molecule: ribosomal RNA, 594 nt
Filed under: obligately oligotrophic bacterium POT-11
Lineage: Bacteria; Pseudomonadati; Pseudomonadota; Gammaproteobacteria
Description: bacterial SSU rRNA
Rfam family: Bacterial small subunit ribosomal RNA
Source: RNAcentral
CAAGUCGAGCGGUAGAGAGAAGCUUGCUUCUCUUGAGAGCGGCGGACGGGUGAGUAAUGCCUAGGAAUCUGCCUGGUACUGGGGGAUAACGUUCGGAAACGGACGCUAAUACCGCAUACUUCCUACGGGAGAAAGCAGGGGACCUUCGGGCCUUGCGCUAUCAGAUGAGCCUANGUCGGAUUAGCUAUUUGGUGAGGUAAUGGCUCACCAAGGCGACGAUCCGUAACUGGUCUGAGAGGAUGAUCAGUCACACUGGAACUGAGACACGGUCCAGACUCCUACGGGAGGCAGCAGUGGGGAAUAUUGGACAAUGGGCGAAAGCCUGAUCCACCCAUGCCGCGUGUGUGUAACAAGGUCUUCGGAUUGUAAAGCACUUUAAGUGGGAGGAAGGGCAUUAACUUAAUACUUUAUUGUUUUGACGUUACCGACAGAAUAAGCACCGGCUAACUCUGUGCCAGCAGCCGCGGUAAUACAGAGGGUGCAAGCGUUAAUCGGAAUUACUGGGCGUAAAGCGCGCGUAGGUGGUUUGUUAAGUUGGAUGUGAAAUCCCCGGGCUCAACCUGGGAACUGCAUUCAAAACUGACUGACUAGAGU